GGCGGAUCCGGCGGGGUAGCUGUGGUGUCGUCAGUCGACGCCCAACUUGUCCCUAGGAAGGGACCCUGUUCGGUCGAGGGUCGGACGCCGUGUAAUAUGCUGAUAUCUGGAGCGCUGACCUUGGGUGUCUCGAGGGGGUCCCGAUUAGACAUUCCAUCCUUGUUUCCUGCGUCCUGACACGUCCUGGGUCGUUCGGUGGGAAGGCUGCAAAAAGAACGAUGGGACAGAAGCCUGUUCCCUAUCACGCCUUCCGUGUCCCGUGUGUUAGGUGGGGAAGCGUCAGGUGCAUUUAAUGCUCCGGCCCGCGUGCGCGCGUCAGGCGGCGGAUGGC
This 331-nucleotide long non-coding RNA is filed under the name Sorghum bicolor (sorghum). Its description in RNAcentral is "long non-coding RNA (SBIC_LNC008253)". Lineage: Eukaryota; Viridiplantae; Streptophyta; Magnoliopsida; Poales; Poaceae. The record is from RNAcentral.